UUGACCUCAAAUCAGGUAGGACUACCCGCUGAACUUAAGCAUAUCAAUAAGCGGAGGAAAAGAAACUAACAAGGAUUCCCCUAGUAACUGCGAGUGAAGCGGGAAAAGCUCAAAUUUAAAAUCUGGCAGUCUUUGGCUGUCCGA
This 144-nucleotide ribosomal RNA is filed under the name Amanita longistriata. RNAcentral's name for it is "partial 28S ribosomal RNA". It matches the Rfam family "Eukaryotic large subunit ribosomal RNA", at positions 1 to 142 of the family's 3401-position model. RNAcentral also lists the same sequence under 1 other name. The record is from RNAcentral. Lineage: Eukaryota; Fungi; Basidiomycota; Agaricomycetes; Agaricales; Amanitaceae.